ACUCCUACGGGAGGCAGCAGUGGGGAAUCUUGCGCAAUGGGAGCAAUCCUGACGCAGCGACGCCGCGUGCGGGAUGACGCCUUUCGGGGUGUAAACCGCUGUCACCGGGGACGAAUCCUACUGGGAGGCAAUGCCCAUGUAGUUGACGGUACCCGGAGAGGAAGCACCGGCUAACUCCGUGCCAGCAGCCGCGGUAAUACGGAGGGUGCGAGCGUUGUUCGGAAUUAUUGGGCGUAAAGCGCGCGUAGGCGGUUCUUUAAGUCUGUCUGUGAAAGGCCGGGGCUCAACCCCGUGCAGUGCAGGGGAUACUGGAGGACUUGAGAGAUGCAGAGGCCAGCGGAAUUCCGGGUGUAGCGGUGGAAUGCGUAGAGAUCCGGAAGAACACCGGCGGCGAAGGCGGCUGGCUGGGCAUCAUCUGACGCUGAGGUGCGAAA
Molecule: ribosomal RNA, 434 nt
Filed under: uncultured bacterium
Lineage: Bacteria
Description: bacterial SSU rRNA
Rfam family: Bacterial small subunit ribosomal RNA
Source: RNAcentral